AACUUCUCAACCCCAUCAUUUCCGAUGUGGCUUGGAUGUGGGGGUUCUUUUGUUUGCAGGCCUCUGAAUGAGGUCGGCUCCCCUGAAAUGCAUUAGUGGUAUCUGAGCAGAACUACUGUACCAUUAGGUGUGAUAAGUUAUCUAUGCCUUUGGUGUGCUGCAUGAACAGAUUGUGCUGCUUCUAACAUAUUUGACAA
Molecule: unclassified non-coding RNA, 197 nt
Filed under: uncultured Inocybaceae
Lineage: Eukaryota; Fungi; Basidiomycota; Agaricomycetes; Agaricales
Description: sequence contains ITS2
Source: RNAcentral